RNAcentral lists this ribosomal RNA (551 nucleotides) under Morchella sp. RNAcentral's name for it is "partial large subunit ribosomal RNA". It matches the Rfam family "Eukaryotic large subunit ribosomal RNA", at positions 53 to 606 of the family's 3401-position model. The record is from RNAcentral. Lineage: Eukaryota; Fungi; Ascomycota; Pezizomycetes; Pezizales; Morchellaceae.
GAGGAAAAGAAACCAACAGGGAUUGCCUCAGUAACGGCGAGUGAAGCGGCAAAAGCUCAAAUUUUAAAGCUGGCAUCUUCGGUGUCCGCGUUGUAAUUUUGUGAGGCAUCUCCGGGUAGGGCGCCGGCCUAAGUUCCUUGGAACAGGACGUCACAGAGGGUGAGAAUCCCGUGCUUGGCUGGCUGUCCCCGUCCAUGUGAGGUGUCUUCGACGAGUCGAGUUGUUUGGGAAUGCAGCUCAAAAUGGGUGGUAAAUUUCAUCUAAAGCUAAAUAUUGGUGGGAGACCGAUAGCGCACAAGUAGAGUGAUCGAAAGAUGAAAAGCACUUUGAAAAUAGAGUUAAAAAGUACGUGAAAUUGUUGAAAGGGAAGCGCUUGAGACCAGACUUCGGUAGGGGGUGAUCACCCGUCCUUCUGGGCGGUGCACUUGCCCCCCUCCGGGCCAGCAUCGGUUGAGGCGGCGGGAUAAAGGUCCCGGGAAUGUGGCUCCUUCGCGGGAGUGUUAUAGCCCGGGUGAAUGCCGCCAGUCUCGACCGAGGACCGCACCCGCAAG